RNAcentral lists this ribosomal RNA (141 nucleotides) under Rhizoplaca subdiscrepans. RNAcentral's name for it is "5.8S ribosomal RNA". It matches the Rfam family "5.8S ribosomal RNA". Rfam says of the family: 5.8S ribosomal RNA (5.8S rRNA) is a component of the large subunit of the eukaryotic ribosome. It is transcribed by RNA polymerase I as part of the 45S precursor that also contains 18S and 28S rRNA. Functionally, it is thought that 5.8S rRNA may be involved in ribosome translocation. The record is from RNAcentral. Lineage: Eukaryota; Fungi; Ascomycota; Lecanoromycetes; Lecanorales; Lecanoraceae.
AUCUCUUGGUUCUGGCAUCGAUGAAGAACGCAGCGAAAUGCGAUAAGUAAUGUGAAUUGCAGAAUUCAGUGAAUCAUCGAAUCUUUGAACGCACAUUGCGCCCCUCGGUAUUCCGGGGGGCAUGCCUGUUCGAGCGUCACC